RNAcentral lists this ribosomal RNA (253 nucleotides) under uncultured bacterium. Its description in RNAcentral is "partial 16S ribosomal RNA". It matches the Rfam family "Bacterial small subunit ribosomal RNA", at positions 524 to 776 of the family's 1533-position model. The record is from RNAcentral.
UACGGAGGGUGCAAGCGUUAUCCGGAUUCACUGGGUUUAAAGGGUGCGUAGGCGGGCAGGUAAGUCCGUGGUGAAAUCUCUGAGCUUAACCCGGAAAGGUCAGCCGAUACUGCGGGGCUAGAGUGCAGAAGGGGCAACUGGAAUUCUCGGUGUAGCGGUGAAAUGCGUAGAUAUCGGGAGGAACACCAGUGGCGAAGGCGGCUGCCUGGGCCAGUUCUGACGCUGAGGCGCGAAAGCGUGGGGAGCAAACAGG